CAGGAUGAUAAGGCCUUCAAACACACUAAACAAAUUCAAGAGUGGUUUAAUAAACACCAGGAUAACACCUUCCAUGGCCUCCACAAUGACCAUUUCUGAACCUAUUUAAACCAUUCUGGGAAGUUCUGGAGUGCCUAGCGCAGUGUAGAUUUCCACCUCUUUUAUCCCAGAACUGCAGGCUUUUCUUCUUGAAGAAUGGUGCAAUAUCCCAUGACACACAGUUCAGGAUUUGUAUUAUGACAGCAUUCUAAUAAGCACUGGAGUUUUUUUCUAAAGGCAAAGGGGGGUCCAACUCCAUAUUAGAUCCUUCAUCUCAAUAUAUUUUUAGAUGUUUCCAUUAUGUUAUCAUCGCCCCCCCCCCCCCUCCAGGGUCUGCUAAAUGCCAAAGUUUCAUAUUUUGAAACACAUAUUUUCUGAAAUCACUUAAACUAGUGGCAUGUGAGCUACCACCAACUUGAAGGUUUUUAAACCUUAAUGGGAAAUUAUGUAGAAUAUGUUAAUAUAAUGUUAAAAUAAGAAAACAUACAUUGUGUAUCUGCAUUAAUAAAGAUCUGACAAUGUUUCACAACAUUUAUAUUUUUAUUAUACAGAAAUACAGUAUUUUGGGUACAUACAAACAGCUCAUUCUUGAAUACAGAAUUUAUGUUGGUCCAUACACCUGCUCCUUUUUCAAAUUAAAAAAGCGUCACAAAGACAAGCAAGUAUCUCUCCUCAAAUGAGAAAUGGCAGAUGGUGGCAAGUGAAUGAUAAAACAGUUCAAUCAAUUCCUGUUCAAGUGAGAACCUGCAUACUGUAGGGAAUCAUUUUGUCAUGCAAAUAACUUUUUUAUGCAUCCAAAUAGCUUUUGUACAUUGUCAUUGAAAAGUGAAUGUAAAACAUGCCAUAGUUCACUGAAUGCACUGUUGCUGUACUUCAACUCACUUUCACAAGUUGGGAACAAAUCAGAGGUAUCCCUUUGUUCCCUGAAGUACGGAAACAAAGCGUUAUGUGAUGUUUUGAAACAUCCCAUAACACCUGAGUAGCUGGUAGCAUUGCUGCAAAAGUCUGAACACCAAAAACACUCUUUUGGUGUUUCAAGAUCUGUUUAAUGCAGAUGCAGUUAUUCUGUAGCAUUUUAUUAUUUUAAUUGACUGACUUACUGCAAUUAACCUGAUCUUUUGGCUGCUUUACCCAAUUUAGCAGGAUUUAAAGAGCACGCUAGAUGUUCCAUGGAUAGCCUAAUAGUAUACUCUACUUGUUCCUGCCAUUAAGAUGCAUGGUAACAACGGAUGUUUGUGAAGAUGUAGCUGUGUGCCUCUGUGAUGUUGAAACCGUGAUCUCCGUUGGACCAGCUCAUAAUGGUUUCAGGAUGAGGCAGCGGUUUUACAUUGGUGGAUGCAACAGCAUCAUGUUUAUGGACAUAUAAAGUAUGCAUAACUGGUUAAAUUAAAUGAAGCAGGUCUACUGUACCACCUAUCUUGUUUCAGUUUAAACUUCAAAGUGACAGGCUUUAGCUGCAUAUCUGGGUAACAUUAGAAAGGCAAGGUGAAAGAGCUUGUUUAGCAUUGUCUAGUAAAGUAUCAGUGUUAUGAUUAAAAUCGUUCUCCUUUGGUGUAGAAGGUUCUGGCACAUAGGUUACAGCUUAUUGUGUGAAUCUGCUUGCUUGUUGAGCCAGAUGAUGUUCUAUAUGUAUGACUACAGACAGUGCUAUCGCUGACAACAGCCUGGCUGACUGCCCAAUGCCCUUAGCAACUCGAAUAAAUGACCAGCCUGAACAAUAA
Molecule: long non-coding RNA, 1760 nt
Organism: Esox lucius (northern pike)
Lineage: Eukaryota; Metazoa; Chordata; Actinopteri; Esociformes; Esocidae
Exons: 2
Source: RefSeq, a predicted model, not a curated record